AAAAAGACAAAUCUUGGAUUUCCGUGUCCAACGUUUAUCUGUCCGUUUUAUAUGAAUUUUUUUUUAUAAUUAAUAAUUUCAUUGUUGUUGGAUGAUAAAACAUGAUUAAUACUUUAUGCGUGACUUGUCUUUUUAACUUUUUUAUAAUUUUUUCAAAUAAGACGGACGGUUAAACGUUGAACACGGAAACCUAGGGUUUGUCUUUUU
Molecule: non-coding RNA, 207 nt
Organism: Oryza barthii
Lineage: Eukaryota; Viridiplantae; Streptophyta; Magnoliopsida; Poales; Poaceae
Source: Rfam